This is a long non-coding RNA of Limulus polyphemus (Atlantic horseshoe crab), 103 nucleotides long. RefSeq lists it as uncharacterized. The transcript has 3 exons. The record is from RefSeq and is a predicted model, not a curated record. Lineage: Eukaryota; Metazoa; Arthropoda; Merostomata; Xiphosura; Limulidae.
GUUUUCUCCAAGUGUUGAGUAUUUUUAAACUGAUGUUAGGGAUUAAUGGCAAACUGCAGUGUAAUGCUGUGUUAUUGUUUAACAGGUGCAUUAGUGUAUGUGA